AUUGAACGCUGGCGGCAGGCCUAACACAUGCAAGUCGAGCGGAUGAAGGGAGCUUGCUCCUGGAUUCAGCGGCGGACGGGUGAGUAAUGCCUAGGAAUCUGCCUGGUAGUGGGGGAUAACGUCCGGAAACGGGCGCUAAUACCGCAUACGUCCUGAGGGAGAAAGUGGGGGAUCUUCGGACCUCACGCUAUCAGAUGAGCCUAGGUCGGAUUAGCUAGUUGGUGGGGUAAAGGCCUACCAAGGCGACGAUCCGUAACUGGUCUGAGAGGAUGAUCAGUCACAGAGGAAAGGAGAAAGGGGACAGAACCCGAGGGGAGGCAGAGGGGGGGAAAGUUGGAAAAGGGGGGGAAGACUGAACAAGCCAGGCGGGGUGGGGGAAGAAGGGCUUCGGAUGGGAAAAACAUUUAAGGGGGGGAAAAGGGAAGUAAGUUAAAACCAUGGUGUUUGAACGUAACAAACAAAAAAAACACCGGCAAACUUGGU
This 483-nucleotide ribosomal RNA is filed under the name uncultured bacterium. RNAcentral describes it as "partial 16S ribosomal RNA". It matches the Rfam family "Bacterial small subunit ribosomal RNA", at positions 29 to 506 of the family's 1533-position model. The record is from RNAcentral.